Molecule: ribosomal RNA, 732 nt
Filed under: uncultured Staphylococcus sp.
Lineage: Bacteria; Bacillati; Bacillota; Bacilli; Caryophanales; Staphylococcaceae
Description: bacterial SSU rRNA
Rfam family: Bacterial small subunit ribosomal RNA
Source: RNAcentral
AGUCGAGCGAACGGACGAGAAGCUUGCUUCUCUGAUGUUAGCGGCGGACGGGUGAGUAACACGUGGAUAACCUACCUAUAAGACUGGGAUAACUUCGGGAAACCGGAGCUAAUACCGGAUAAUAUUUUGAACCGCAUGGUUCAAAAGUGAAAGACGGUCUUGCUGUCACUUAUAGAUGGAUCCGCGCUGCAUUAGCUAGUUGGUAAGGUAACGGCUUACCAAGGCAACGAUGCAUAGCCGACCUGAGAGGGUGAUCGGCCACACUGGAACUGAGACACGGUCCAGACUCCUACGGGAGGCAGCAGUAGGGAAUCUUCCGCAAUGGGCGAAAGCCUGACGGAGCAACGCCGCGUGAGUGAUGAAGGUCUUCGGAUCGUAAAACUCUGUUAUUAGGGAAGAACAUAUGUGUAAGUAACUGUGCACAUCUUGACGGUACCUAAUCAGAAAGCCACGGCUAACUACGUGCCAGCAGCCGCGGUAAUACGUAGGUGGCAAGCGUUAUCCGGAAUUAUUGGGCGUAAAGCGCGCGUAGGCGGUUUUUUAAGUCUGAUGUGAAAGCCCACGGCUCAACCGUGGAGGGUCAUUGGAAACUGGAAAACUUGAGUGCAGAAGAGGAAAGUGGAAUUCCAUGUGUAGCGGUGAAAUGCGCAGAGAUAUGGAGGAACACCAGUGGCGAAGGCGACUUUCUGGUCUGUAACUGACGCUGAUGUGCGAAAGCGUGGGGAUCAAACA